UGGGGAAUUUUGGACAAUGGGGGAAACCCUGAUCCAGCCAUCCCGCGUGUGCGAUGAAGGCCUUCGGGUUGUAAAGCACUUUUGGCAGGAAAGAAACGUCAUGGGUUAAUACCCCGUGAAACUGACGGUACCUGCAGAAUAAGCACCGGCUAACUACGAGCCAGCAGCCGCGGUAAUACGUAGGGUGCAAGCGUUAAUCGGAAUUACUGGGCGUAAAGCGUGCGCAGGCGGUUCGGAAAGAAAGAUGUGAAAUCCCAGAGCUCAACUUUGGAACUGCAUUUUUAACUACCGGGCUAGAGUGUGUCAGAGGGAGGUGGAAUUCCGCGUGUAGCAGUGAAAUGCGUAGAUAUGCGGAGGAACACCGAUGGCGAAGGCAGCCUCCUGGGAUAACACUGACGCUCAUGCACGAAAGCGUGGGGAGCAAACAGG
This 429-nucleotide ribosomal RNA is filed under the name Acidobacteriota bacterium. Its description in RNAcentral is "Acidobacteria bacterium partial 16S ribosomal RNA". It matches the Rfam family "Bacterial small subunit ribosomal RNA", at positions 355 to 776 of the family's 1533-position model. Lineage: Bacteria; Pseudomonadati; Acidobacteriota. The record is from RNAcentral.